AUGGAUACCUGUGGUAAUUCUAGAGCUAAUACAUGCUAAAAACCCCGACUCACGAAGGGGUGUAUUUAUUAGAUAAAAAACCAACGCCCUUCGGGGCUCCUUGGUGAAUCAUAAUAACUUAACGAAUCGCAUGGCCUUGCGCCGGCGAUGGUUCAUUCAAAUUUCUGCCCUAUCAACUUUCGAUGGUAGGAUAGUGGCCUACCAUGGUGGCAACGGGUAACGGGGAAUUAGGGUUCGAUUCCGGAGAGGGAGCCUGAGAAACGGCUACCACAUCCAAGGAAGGCAGCAGGCGCGCAAAUUACCCAAUCCCGAUACGGGGAGGUAGUGACAAUAAAUACUGAUACGGGGCUCUUUUGGGUCUCGUAAUUGGAAUGAGAACAAUUUAAAUCCCUUAACGAGGAACAAUUGGAGGGCAAGUCUGGUGCCAGCAGCCGCGGUAAUUCCAGCUCCAAUAGCGUAUAUUAAAGUUGUUGCAGUUAAAAAGCUCGUAGUUGAACCUUGGGUCUGGCUGGCCGGUCCGCCUCACCGCGAGUACUGGUCCGGCUGG
Molecule: ribosomal RNA, 547 nt
Filed under: Penicillium sacculum
Lineage: Eukaryota; Fungi; Ascomycota; Eurotiomycetes; Eurotiales; Aspergillaceae
Description: SSU rRNA
Rfam family: Eukaryotic small subunit ribosomal RNA
Source: RNAcentral